GACGAACGCUGGCGGCGUGCUUAACACAUGCAAGUCGAACGGAAAGGCCCUGCUUUUGUGGGGUGCUCGAGUGGCGAACGGGUGAGUAACACGUGAGUAACCUGCCCUUGACUUUGGGAUAACUUCAGGAAACUGGGGCUAAUACCGGAUAGGAGCUCCUGCUGCAUGGUGGGGGUUGGAAAGUUUCGGCGGUUGGGGAUGGACUCGCGGCUUAUCAGCUUGUUGGUGGGGUAGUGGCUUACCAAGGCUUUGACGGGUAGCCGGCCUGAGAGGGUGACCGGUCACCUUGGGACUGAGAUACGGCCCAGACUCCUACGGGAGGCAGCAGUGGGGAAUAUUGCACAAUGGGCGGAAGCCUGAUGCAGCAACGCCGCGUGCGGGAUGACGGCCUUCGGGUUGUAAACCGCUUUCGCCUGUGACGAAGCGUGAGUGACGGUAAUGGGUAAAGAAGCACCGGCUAACUACGUG
Molecule: ribosomal RNA, 468 nt
Filed under: uncultured bacterium
Lineage: Bacteria
Description: partial 16S ribosomal RNA
Rfam family: Bacterial small subunit ribosomal RNA
Source: RNAcentral